AAGAAUCUGGAGACAGGUGCUGCAUGGCUGUCGUCAGCUCGUGUCGUGAGAUGUUGGGUUAAGUCCCGCAACGAGCGCAACCCUGCCUUUAGUUGCCAGCAGUUCGGCUGGGCACUCUAAAGGGACUGCCGGUGUUAAACCGGAGGAAGGUGGGGAUGACGUCAAGUCCUCAUGGCCUUUAUGACCAGGGCUACACACGUACUACAAUGGCCGAUACAAAGGGCAGCGACACUGCGAGGUGAAGCCAAUCCCGUAAAAUCGGUCUCAGUCCGGAUUGGAGUCUGCAACUCGACUCCAUGAAGUUGGAAUCGCUAGUAAUCGUGGAUCAGCAUGCCACGGUGAAUACGUUCCCGGGCCUU
This 359-nucleotide ribosomal RNA is filed under the name uncultured Desulfobulbus sp. RNAcentral describes it as "bacterial SSU rRNA". It matches the Rfam family "Bacterial small subunit ribosomal RNA", at positions 1022 to 1382 of the family's 1533-position model. The record is from RNAcentral. Lineage: Bacteria; Pseudomonadati; Thermodesulfobacteriota; Desulfobulbia; Desulfobulbales; Desulfobulbaceae.